This 253-nucleotide ribosomal RNA is filed under the name uncultured bacterium. RNAcentral's name for it is "partial 16S ribosomal RNA". It matches the Rfam family "Bacterial small subunit ribosomal RNA", at positions 524 to 776 of the family's 1533-position model. The record is from RNAcentral.
GACGAACCGUGCUAACGUUGUUCGGAAUCACUGGGCUUAAAGGGCGCGUAGGCGGGCAUGCAAGUCAGGGGUGAAAGCCCACGGCUCAACCGUGGAAGUGCCUUUGAUACUGCAUGCCUCGAGCGAGGUAGGGGCGUGCGGAACUUCCGGUGGAGCGGUGAAAUGCGUAGAUAUCGGAAGGAACACCGGUGGCGAAAGCGGCGCGCUGGACCUCUUCUGACGCUGAGGCGCGAAAGCCAGGGGAGCAAACGGG